This 397-nucleotide ribosomal RNA is filed under the name uncultured bacterium. RNAcentral describes it as "partial 16S ribosomal RNA". It matches the Rfam family "Bacterial small subunit ribosomal RNA", at positions 523 to 918 of the family's 1533-position model. The record is from RNAcentral.
AUACGUAGGUGACAAGCGUUAUCCGGAUUUACUGGGCGUAAAGGGCGUGUAGGCGGUCUUGCAAGUCAGAAGUGAAAUUCCUGAGCUCAACUCGGGCGCUGCUUCUGAAACUGCAGGACUUGAGUGCUGGAGGGGAUAGCGGAAUUCCUAGUGGAGCGGUAAAAUGCGCAGAUAUUAGGAAGAACACCGGUGGCGAAGGCGGCUAUCUGGACAGUAACGGACGGUGAGGCGCGAAAGCGUGGGGAGCAAACAGGAUUAGAUCCCCUGGUAGUCCACGCCGUAACCGAUGAAUACUAGGUGUAGGGGGUAUCGACUCCCUCUGUGCCGCAGUUAACACAAUAAGUACCCCGCCUGGGGAGUACGGCCGCAAGGCUUAAACUCAAAUGAAUUGACGGGG